AUUGAACGCUGGCGGCAGGCCUAACACAUGCAAGUCGAGCGGUAGCACAGAGAGCUUGCUCUCGGGUGACGAGCGGCGGACGGGUGAGUAAUGUCUGGGAAACUGCCUGAUGGAGGGGGAUAACUACUGGAAACGGUAGCUAAUACCGCAUAACGUCGCAAGAUCAAAGUGGGGGACCUUCGGGCCUCAUGCCAUCAGAUGUGCCCAGAUGGGAUUAGCUAGUAGGUGGGGUAACGGCUCACCUAGGCGACGAUCCCUAGCUGGUCUGAGAGGAUGACCAGCCACACUGGAACUGAGACACGGUCCAGACUCCUACGGGAGGCAGCAGUGGGGAAUAUUGCACAAUGGGCGCAAGCCUGAUGCAGCCAUGCCGCGUGUGUGAAGAAGGCCUUCGGGUUGUAAAGCACUUUCAGCGGGGAGGAAGGCGGUGAGGUUAAUAACCUCAUCGAUUGACGUUACCCGCAGAAGAAGCACCGGCUAACUCCGUGCCAGCAGCCGCGGUAAUACGGAGGGUGCAAGCGUUAAUCGGAAUUACUGGGCGUAAAGCGCACGCAGGCGGUCUGUCAAGUCGGAUGUGAAAUCCCCGGGCUCAACCUGGGAACUGCAUUCGAAACUGGCAGGCUAGAGUCUUGUAGAGGGGGGUAGAAUUCCAGGUGUAGCGGUGAAAUGCGUAGAGAUCUGGAGGAAUACCGGUGGCGAAGGCGGCCCCCUGGACAAAGACUGACGCUCAGGUGCGAAAGCGUGGGGAGCAAACAGGAUUAGAUACCCUGGUAGUCCACGCCGUAAACGAUGUCGAUUUGGAGGUUGUGCCCUUGAGGCGUGGCUUCCGGAGCUAACGCGUUAAAUCGACCGCCUGGGGAGUACGGCCGCAAGGUUAAAACUCAAAUGAAUUGACGGGGGCCCGCACAAGCGGUGGAGCAUGUGGUUUAAUUCGAUGCAACGCGAAGAACCUUACCUGGUCUUGACAUCCACAGAACUUUCCAGAGAUGGAUUGGUGCCUUCGGGAACUGUGAGACAGGUGCUGCAUGGCUGUCGUCAGCUCGUGUUGUGAAAUGUUGGGUUAAGUCCCGCAACGAGCGCAACCCUUAUCCUUUGUUGCCAGCGGUUAGGCCGGGAACUCAAAGGAGACUGCCAGUGAUAAACUGGAGGAAGGCGGGGAUGACGUCAAGUCAUCAUGGCCCUUACGACCAGGGCUACACACGUGCUACAAUGGCAUAUACAAAGAGAAGCGACCUCGCGAGAGCAAGCGGACCUCAUAAAGUAUGUCGUAGUCCGGAUUGGAGUCUGCAACUCGACUCCAUGAAGUCGGAAUCGCUAGUAAUCGUAGAUCAGAAUGCUACGGUGAAUACGUUCCCGGGCCU
RNAcentral lists this ribosomal RNA (1361 nucleotides) under uncultured bacterium. RNAcentral describes it as "bacterial SSU rRNA". It matches the Rfam family "Bacterial small subunit ribosomal RNA", at positions 28 to 1381 of the family's 1533-position model. The record is from RNAcentral.